UAGCCCUGGAACGGAAUCAGGUUGGGCA
This 28-nucleotide non-coding RNA is filed under the name Mus musculus (house mouse). Lineage: Eukaryota; Metazoa; Chordata; Mammalia; Rodentia; Muridae. The record is from RNAcentral.